RNAcentral lists this non-coding RNA (178 nucleotides) under Pseudomonadaceae bacterium. RNAcentral describes it as "6S RNA". It matches the Rfam family "6S / SsrS RNA". From Rfam's summary of the family: E. coli 6S RNA was the first non coding RNA to be sequenced, but its function was unknown until recently. It consists of 184 nucleotides that fold into an extended hairpin structure with a large single-stranded internal bulge. The 6S RNA specifically associates with RNA polymerase holoenzyme containing the sigma70 specificity factor. Lineage: Bacteria; Pseudomonadati; Pseudomonadota; Gammaproteobacteria; Pseudomonadales; Pseudomonadaceae. The record is from RNAcentral.
CGCUCCCUGGGAUAUUCGCCAGCUGAAAGUGUUCUUGAGCCGAUAAUCUGUACCCUGGAGGCUUUGCCCAAUGGCGCGGUGUGCAUGUCCGCUUGUCGGAAAGCCUAAAGCGCCGGACUGGCCACCACCUGAACCAUACGGUUCAGGACUAUUUCAGCAGCGGUAUUUUGGGGAUCUC